GGGGUUGUGGUUCAGCAGUAGAGCGCUCACCUAGCACGUGGGAGGCCCUGGGUUCAAUCCUCAGCGGCACAU
RNAcentral lists this transfer RNA (72 nucleotides) under Ictidomys tridecemlineatus (thirteen-lined ground squirrel). RNAcentral's name for it is "Spermophilus tridecemlineatus (thirteen-lined ground squirrel) tRNA". It matches the Rfam family "tRNA". From Rfam's summary of the family: Transfer RNA (tRNA) molecules are approximately 80 nucleotides in length. Lineage: Eukaryota; Metazoa; Chordata; Mammalia; Rodentia; Sciuridae. The record is from Rfam by way of RNAcentral.